Long non-coding RNA from Oreochromis niloticus (Nile tilapia), 3087 nucleotides. RefSeq lists it as uncharacterized. The transcript is spliced from 5 exons. The record is from RefSeq and is a predicted model, not a curated record. Lineage: Eukaryota; Metazoa; Chordata; Actinopteri; Cichliformes; Cichlidae.
CUAAAACCUGCAGGGACACCGGCCCUCGUGGACUGAGAUUGCCCACCCCUGGGAUAGAAGGACAGCUCAAUGCGUGGAGCAGUGAGGGGUGCUGGAGCCGAUCUCAGGUGUCACGGGGCAAGAGACAGGGUGCACCCUGGACAGGCUGCCAGUCUGUCACAGGGCUAACUCAUAAAGACAGACAGCCAUUCACACUCAUACCUACAGGCAACUCAAAUCACCAGUUAGCCAAACCCCACGCAUGCCUUUGGAUUGUGGGAGGAAGCUGGAAUGAAUCCGCACAGAGAAAAGGCUCCAGGCUGGAUUCAAACCCAGGACCUUUUCACUGUGAGGUGACCCUGCUAACCACAGUAGCCAGAAGUUUCUCCCAAUGGUACAUGUUUGCGAUCGCUUCCACACACUAAUUUGCUUUAACCACAUUCGUGUGCUUUGGCCAGGCUUUAUCAGCACCACAAAGGGGCCAGGAAGAGACCAAAAACAGAUCUUCUUGGUUGUGUCAAAAUUCUAGGAGCCACCAAGACACAGAUUUAAGUGUCAUGUGUGGGCAGCUCAAAAAUAAUGUGGUUAGAAGUGCAAGCUUAAAAUCUUAAAGCUUUUAUCUUUUCAAUAAAUGAAGCCCUGCACAGAUCAGUCUGUAACCUCUAGUAAAAUUUGUAAGUUUAAUCUCUGCUAAGAUGUUUGCACAACCAACUGGCAGCAGCAUCACGACUGAAAGGUGAUGAUAGCAGCUGAAGCUAUGCAGCUUAAUUUGGUGUAAUAUUCACCCACAAACUGCUUCAGGAAAAUCAGCAGAUUCAUUACGGCGACAGCACGGAAACUAAUAAACUCUUUUAAUCAUCUUAGAUGUUAAAAAUCGUUGCAUCAUGAAAUCUCCUUUCCCACUCUACUUUCUGCCACAAAUGAGUGUUGCCACAGAGACAUCGCCGACGAAUGGAUUGUUAAAUCAAACGGGAACGACUCGGAGCAUCUGGUCACCACGACAGUGAGGAACACGAGCGCGUUCUGACACCAAGUCUGACACCACGGUUCCCACUCAGAAAAGUGUGGUGUGUCCACUCUGGAAUAACAAUGAGCUGCUGCCUCAAGUAUCCCGGGUUCUGUUCAGGAGUGAAAGAGGGAAGGAGGGAGCGGGAGGUGGACUUCCAGAUGGAUUGGUGCUGCUUCAGAUGGUGCAGAUGCUGUCCCGUUCUGUCAUGAUGAAAAGAAACUGAGUGUGAAAGCAAACCUGUUGAUUUUCAGGUCUGUUUAUAUUCCCACCUUCACCUGUGGUCAUCAGCUCUGGCCAAAAGAACGAGACUGCAGAUACAAGCAGCAGAAAUGUGUUUCCUCUAAAGGUCGUCUGGGCUCAGCGUUAGAGAGGAGUGAGGAGCUCUGCCAUCUGAGAGGGGUGCAGAGCAGAGCUGUUAUUCCUCCGUAUCAAAGGAAGCUAGUUGAGGUUUUUGGGGCAUCUCACUAGGAUCUGCCCUGGAUGCCUCUUAGUUGAUGUUAUUGUAUCCGAUCUUUACCAAGACCGGAGUGUGUGCAUGAUUACUGCUUUUGUAGCUGUGUGUUUAUAUGUCUGCUUCCUAAAUUCCCCUGACAAAUUCCUCAAGCAAAAGGUGGGCACUCACUUUUUAUAUCAAUAUUGUAUGAAUACAAUAUUGAAUCCUUAUAAUUAUUUAAUAAAUCUCAAACUGCACAGUGACCGCUUUCUCUCUGAGGCUAUCCCUGAUUAAUUCUUGAACCAAUGUAUGGCACAAAUUAUAACAUUAAUGAUUAACUUAAUCAGUGUUUAUAUUAAAAAAUGAAGUGAUGUGAGCUGAUCAACAGCUUCAAGCAGGUCUGCUGUCAUGAACUGGAUUUACAUAUUUUCAGAACACCUCAACAUUCAAUUACAAAUUGGUUGUUAUUGAUUUAGCAUCAGGUUGUUUCUGAUUUGAUCCUCAGUGAAGCAGCUGAUCAAGUCAUUACCCUUAUUUUGCCUAAAAUAGACCGGUAAGCACACAGGCCUACACGUGUUGUUUCCCUGCCUGCUGGUGGGAGUGUUGUUAUUGUUUCUGAAUAUUAAAAAUAAGAAACAUUUGAGGAAAAUUUGAUUGCCUAAGGCAGGAGUUUGAUGUUCCAGACUACAUUAAAAGCAGAUUUUUUUUCAUCAAAAGACACUCCAAGGAAAAUAAAAGUCAGAGUUAUGACAGUAAAUUAAUUAGCUCAGAACAAGAAAAUCAGACUUUUGCCUCUAGCGUUCAUUUUAAUGCAAACAGUUUGAUAACAGAGCUUUCUUUAGUUUAGUUGUUCUGCACCAGUAACGCCAGCGCUGAACAUUAUUUGUAUUUGUUUUUUUAAAAAGAGCAUUGUGGAAACUUUUUUUUCUUGGUUCAAAAUCUAUCACAAGGUUUUCAGGAGCAAACCACAUCGAUACAGCGGCUAAUGGAUGGACAACGGAUUUCAUUAUCCAGACGGCUUUAGCUUCAGGGGGGGGUCAGAGGUCAAAACAAGAGCGGACCUCCUUUCGAGUUUUAGCCUGUUUUCAGCUCUCGGAGGUCUCGACCAAACACAACCACCGUGGUACUAAAAUCUACUUUCCUGUGGGCUUUAGUCGAUACUGACUGGUUAAAAUUCCAGCUGAUACUUUAGUAUGAACUGUUCCAGAGGAAAAACACUCCAGCUUGGCUUCACAUGGUACACGAGGUGUUUAAAGAGUACACAACAUGAGUAACCCAUAAUCAGGACUGCACUGACGGUCUAUUAUUAAUUUUUAAAAAUCUUUUAUGAAUCAGGUUAUUAUGAAGAGAGUGGUGGGAAUAACAUGCAGGAAAUGGACUGAGAUGGACUCCAACCCAGGCCCCGCAGUAGCCUUGGUGUAGAGGCACAACUAUAGGUGAGCUCUCGUGGUCCCCCAAAAUAUUGUUUUAAUGGAUCGAUGGGAGAGCAGCGGAAAAAGUGCUAAGUGAUUUUUAUAUAUUUUUUUUACUUUUCUCUCCAAGGACAGAUCUCAAAGAGUCAAUGUUGUUCAUCAGAUGAACAUAAUUGUUGAAUAAAUGAUGAUGUUGGUCGUUGUUUUCAUAAUUUCUGGGCAGGUAACCGAUAUCUAACAAGAACAAAGACUAC